Molecule: long non-coding RNA, 1364 nt
Organism: Cryptomeria japonica (Japanese cedar)
Lineage: Eukaryota; Viridiplantae; Streptophyta; Pinopsida; Cupressales; Cupressaceae
Exons: 2
Source: RefSeq, a predicted model, not a curated record
UUCCCCCUCUUCACUCUUCUAUAUUUGAUAACAUCCUUUUCCCACUCUUCCCUCUUGUAUUCCACUUUUGAACCUUAAAAAUCUUCCACCACUUUCUAUGCUGCAUCUAAUCAAUUAAAAUAUUAUUUUUAACAACAAACAGACAAUCUAUAAGAUAUUAAUCUUGACUGUUUUCAGAUUAUAUAUAAAUUUAAAUCCGGAAACAGUCAAAAACAUUAUUUUUAUUUGACAUACCAAAAUAAAUCCCACGUAAACAUCGAGCUAUCUGAUUUGAAUUUGCCGAGCAGUCAGAAGUAACAAUGGCGCAAAUUGCAGUGGGCGAAGGAAGUAGGGGUUCUUCCACGCUUGCGUUAGUUGAAACGCCUUCAUCUUCGCAGCCCACGCAGCAGGUUCUGACGCUCCGCUUGGCCCGUCGCCCUAGAAAGAAGGUCACAUGGAAGGAAGGCACCGUCGACAACGAGUUUAUGAACAAGAAAAGCUCUAAAAAAUGCUGUAUUUUUCACAGGGAGAAGCCCUUCGAUGAGGACAACAGUGACGACGAUUGUGACGAAAAACGAAGAAAAGAGAGAGACAAUUCUAUGUCAUGUGACCGUGGCCAAAGUAGUGGCGGGAAUUCCUGCUUGCACCAGCAUUAGGGCAUGCGAAAUUUGUUUUAAUUUUCAGAGCAAGAAGUUUCAAACCGAAUCUAGCUAUUUCGGAUUUCAGGGCAUCCGUUAGUUUUCAUUGUACGGCUUUUAAUGAUCAAAGACUCAGUGUCUCGAAGAGCGUCUUGCAAAGCAGACAUGGAUUUACUCAUUCGAGCUCUUGAUAUGGUUACAUGUUAUUUCUGUGUCUGGGAUAUUUUCAAACAAAUGUGCAUUUUCGUGCUAUUAUAGUCUCAAUGGACUGGUUGGAAUAUCUUGUAAGUUGUCAUUUGGAUAAAUAAAAAUAUUUCUCAUCAUAGAAAGAGGGCCAAUAAUUGUAAAUUAGAUGGAAUAACCCAUUUAAACAAUAAUUUUCGAUUUUAGGGGUUAUUUAGAGGGUUAUGGUAUGAACAUCAUGCUGAAUAGGUCACAAGGUGCAACAAAACAGAUGUUGUGGCCGUUGAAUCAAUGCUUGCAAAGUUUUAUCUGCAUAAGAGUAAUUGAGGGAGGAUUCAUUCAUGACUUCUCUUUAUGUAAUUGUUAUUUAUGGAAUGCUUUAUUGUGGCAAAGAUAGGCCAAGAUAAAUGACUUAUAUCCCAAAAUUACGGGAAGUAAUAAGUGUGAAACUGGGAUCUAUAAUAUCUGGUUAAAAAAACCAUGAAUGAGGAUUCAUAUAAAGUACUGAAAGUUAAAUUGUAAAGUCCACAAUAAAGAUAAAAGGAAGCGUUUUUUUUUUGUUAA